Schistosoma mansoni is the source of this 46-nucleotide non-coding RNA. The record is from Rfam. NCBI's taxonomy places the organism in Eukaryota, Metazoa, Platyhelminthes, Trematoda, Strigeidida, Schistosomatidae.
ACACUGCUGAGGAGUCCCACAAUAGGAUGAAACUGCCGUCCAGUGU